CCUACGGGGGGCAGCAGUAGGGAAUAUUGCACAAUGGAGGAAACUCUGAUGCAGCGACGCCGCGUGAGUGACGAAGGCCUUCGGGUUGUAAAGCUCUGUUCUCAGGGAAAUUGUACCUGAGAAGAAAGGACCGGCUAACUUCGUGCCAGCAGCCGCGGUAAGACGAGGGGUCCAAGCGUUGUUCGGAAUCAUUGGGCGUAAAGCGGGUGUAGGCGGCCUUAUAAGUCAGAAGUGAAAGCCCCGGGCUUAACCUGGGAAGUGCUUUUGAUACUGCAAGGCUUGAAUGUGGGAGAGGGUAGUGGAAUUCCUGGUGUAGUGGUGAAAUACGUAGAUAUCAGGAGGAACACCGGUGGCGAAGGCGGCUACCUGGCCCAAAUGACGCUGAGACCCGAAAGCAUGGGGAUCAAACAGGAUUAGAUACCCUGGUAGUC
Molecule: ribosomal RNA, 431 nt
Filed under: uncultured bacterium
Lineage: Bacteria
Description: partial 16S ribosomal RNA
Rfam family: Bacterial small subunit ribosomal RNA
Source: RNAcentral